CUUUAGCCCAGAUAGCAGUGGAAAUCCUUAUGUGCCGGUGUUCGGCAUAUAAGAUUGUAACGAAUAGCUGGAUUAGCU
This 78-nucleotide small RNA is filed under the name Flavobacterium sp. CECT 9288. RNAcentral's name for it is "Flavo-1". It matches the Rfam family "Flavo-1 RNA". The record is from RNAcentral. Lineage: Bacteria; Pseudomonadati; Bacteroidota; Flavobacteriia; Flavobacteriales; Flavobacteriaceae.